This 399-nucleotide ribosomal RNA is filed under the name uncultured bacterium. RNAcentral's name for it is "bacterial SSU rRNA". It matches the Rfam family "Bacterial small subunit ribosomal RNA", at positions 975 to 1375 of the family's 1533-position model. The record is from RNAcentral.
CCAGGCUUGAACUGCAGAUGACAUCCUAUGAAAGUAGGCUUCCGCAAGGACAUCUGUAGAGGUGCUGCAUGGCUGUCGUCAGCUCGUGUCGUGAGAUGUUGGGUUAAGUCCCGCAACGAGCGCAACCCUUGUCUUCUGUUGCCAUCAGGUUAUGCUGGGCACUCUGAAGAGACUGCCGGUGACAAACCGGAGGAAGGUGGGGAUGACGUCAAGUCAGCAUGGCCUUUAUGUCUGGGGCCACACACGUGCUACAAUGGCCGGUACAAACCGUUGCAAACUCGCGAGGGUGAGCUAAUCGGAGAAAGCCGGUCUCAGUUCGGAUUGCAGGCUGCAACUCGCCUGCAUGAAGUUGGAAUCGCUAGUAAUCGCGGAUCAGCAUGCCGCGGUGAAUACGUUCCC